This 515-nucleotide long non-coding RNA is filed under the name Phoenix dactylifera (date palm). RNAcentral's name for it is "long non-coding RNA (PDAC_LNC022782)". The record is from RNAcentral. Lineage: Eukaryota; Viridiplantae; Streptophyta; Magnoliopsida; Arecales; Arecaceae.
GUGGAACAUCAAAUAAUAGUAUUACCUGCCUACUCAGCUCUACUGUGGGCGCAUAGGUCUAGCACUUUAGUAACAAAGAAAAUAAAACUGAGUGACUAAUUGGCCCUCUAAAUAUAGUGAAGAUUGCAUAGUAUAGCGAUAUAGUGAGCAGUCAAGGAGCAUUAUGAUGCCAUUGUACAUCAAUCAUCUAGAAAUCAAUCUUUUAAAAAAAACCAUGAUUAAACAUUUUCAUAAGUUCACAGUCAUCUACAUAUAUUUAUGAAGCCAUGCAUUAUAAUUUCAACACUGGAUUCAGAAAAUUGUUUCUCAUAGGUUUCUACCCUAAAAUGGAUCAAACAUCUUGGUCCCACUUAUUGCACUAUUGAACACUGUGAUAACCUAUAGUGACUGGACUGUUACUACAUUAAAGUAUUAUUUCUUGACUUUAAGCAGCCACAUUUAAACUAUUGCAUGAAGAACUUGGUGCCUCCCUACCAAUUUUACUGCUUUUGGAAGGGAAUACUUGGCAUUGACUG